RNAcentral lists this ribosomal RNA (465 nucleotides) under Vreelandella stevensii. RNAcentral's name for it is "partial 16S ribosomal RNA". It matches the Rfam family "Bacterial small subunit ribosomal RNA", at positions 338 to 795 of the family's 1533-position model. Lineage: Bacteria; Pseudomonadati; Pseudomonadota; Gammaproteobacteria; Oceanospirillales; Halomonadaceae. The record is from RNAcentral.
CCUACGGGCGGCAGCAGUGGGGAAUAUUGGACAAUGGGGGCAACCCUGAUCCAGCCAUGCCGCGUGUGUGAAGAAGGCCCUCGGGUUGUAAAGCACUUUCAGUGAGGAAGAACGCCUGGUGGUUAAUACCCAUCAGGAAAGACAUCACUCACAGAAGAAGCACCGGCUAACUCCGUGCCAGCAGCCGCGGUAAUACGGAGGGUGCGAGCGUUAAUCGGAAUUACUGGGCGUAAAGCGCGCGUAGGUGGCUUGAUAAGCCGGUUGUGAAAGCCCCGGGCUCAACCUGGGAAUGGCAUCCGGAACUGUCAAGCUAGAGUGCAGGAGAGGAAGGUAGAAUUCCCGGUGUAGCGGUGAAAUGCGUAGAGAUCGGGAGGAAUACCAGUGGCGAAGGCGGCCUUCUGGACUGACACUGACACUGAGGUGCGAAAGCGUGGGUAGCAAACAGGAUUAGAUACCCCGGUAGUC